GGAGGGAGAUGAGCGGAAAAAGGAGGUACUGCAGUCGACGGAGCACCCCUGAAGGAGUUUUCGGACACGGAUGGGAAUGCUUAGUGGCGGACUGGUGAGUAACGCGUGAGGAACCUGCCUUCCAGAGGGGGACAACAGAUGGAAACGACUGCUAAUACCGCAUGAUGCGUUGGAGCCGCAUGACUCCGACGCCAAAGAUUUAUCGCUGGAAGAUGGCCUCGCGUCUGAUUAGCUAGUUGGUGAGGUAACGGCCCACCAAGGCGACGAUCAGUAGCCGGACUGAGAGGUUGGCCGGCCACAUUGGGACUGAGAUACGGCCCAGACUCCUACGGGAGGCAGCAGUGGGGAAUAUUGGGCAAUGGACGCAAGUCUGACCCAGCAACGCCGCGUGAAGGAAGAAGGCUUUCGGGUUGUAAACUUCUUUUAAGGGGGAAGAGCAGAAGACGGUACCCCUUGAAUAAGCCACGGCUAACUACGUGCCAGCAGCCGCGGUAAUACGUAGGUGGCAAGCGUUGUCCGGAUUUGCUGGGUGUAAAGGGCGUGCAGCCGGAGAGACAAGUCAGAUGUGAAAUCCACGGGCUCAACCCGUGAACUGCAUUUGAAACUGUUUCCCUUGAGUGUCGGAGAGGUAAUCGGAAUUCCUUGUGUAGCGGUGAAAUGCGUAGAUAUAAGGAAGAACACCAGUGGCGAAGGCGGAUUACUGGACGAUAACUGACGGUGAGGCGCGAAAGCGUGGGGAGCAAACAGGAU
Molecule: ribosomal RNA, 750 nt
Filed under: uncultured bacterium
Lineage: Bacteria
Description: bacterial SSU rRNA
Rfam family: Bacterial small subunit ribosomal RNA
Source: RNAcentral